GGAUCUUAAAUCAUUGAUACACAUGGACCAUAUUGGAAGACAUGGGCAAACUCAUAAACCUAUAACUACAUCACCAAUGCAAGGGUUCUAAUCUAGUUAUGGGAUAAAGAAAACGUGGCGCACUUCUAUCAUAUGGCCUUCACUUCUAUCCUCAAUUGUGGCGCAUAUACAGACGGGCUAAACUUCAAAUACAAUUCUACUCCAAUGCUAAUUUUUGUUUGUACAUGCCAUGUCACCCACCGCUAAGUUAUCGGUGCAAUGGGUUUGAUCUAAAGUUUUAUUUUCUCGUUUUACAUCUUGG
RNAcentral lists this long non-coding RNA (301 nucleotides) under Helianthus annuus (common sunflower). Its description in RNAcentral is "sRNA HanXRQr2_Chr04g0173941". Lineage: Eukaryota; Viridiplantae; Streptophyta; Magnoliopsida; Asterales; Asteraceae. The record is from RNAcentral.